Molecule: long non-coding RNA, 203 nt
Organism: Nicotiana attenuata
Lineage: Eukaryota; Viridiplantae; Streptophyta; Magnoliopsida; Solanales; Solanaceae
Exons: 3
Source: RefSeq, a predicted model, not a curated record
GAGUAGCUUAUCAACUAUUCUCCUAAGUAAGAAGAGACAUCCUUUAUGGGAUUCUAUAACUGUAAAAUUCUUUGGCUACAGAUUGUUGCAUCUGCCACUCCGUCAAAGGCGAAAAUACCUGAAGGAUUUAUUUGGUGACGGCAAGUGGGUUAUUUCGAGUUGAAAAUGACUGUAGAGUCUGAUGAUUCUUGUGCAGAUAACGA